This 1290-nucleotide ribosomal RNA is filed under the name Dicronocephalus adamsi. RNAcentral describes it as "16S ribosomal RNA". The stretch from base 858 to 1220 matches the Rfam family "Bacterial large subunit ribosomal RNA", at positions 2075 to 2645 of the family's 2925-position model. Lineage: Eukaryota; Metazoa; Arthropoda; Insecta; Coleoptera; Scarabaeidae. The record is from RNAcentral.
AAGUAUAUAAUUUAUAUUUAUUUUAUAAAAAAAAUAUUUUUUUAGUGAGUAUUUUUAAGAACAUAGGGAUUUUAAUAAUAGUUAAAUGUAUAGUGAUAGGACAUUGAAAUAUAAUGAAAGUAGACUAAAUAAAAGAAGAGUUAAUUUUUUGUACCUUGUGUAUCAGGGUUUAUUAAAAAUAUUAAAUUAGUUUGAGUUCUCGAAUUAAUAAGAGCUAAUAUUAUAUAAGUAUAGUUGUGGCAUAAACUUUCAUAAUAUAAUAUUAGAAAUGAAACGUUAUACGUUUUUUAAGAUAUCUAGUUUUUUAAGAAAUAAAUUUAAUUUAGUUUGAAUAUUGGGUAUAGUUAAUUAUAUAAUUAUACUUAUAUACAAGGCAAUACUUUAAGGGAUAAGCUUUAAAGUAAAUAAUUAUAAUUAUUUAUUUUAUGUUAGUGAAUAAAUGUAGGAUUGGAAGUUUUUAUCAAUAGUGUGUUAUAAUUAAUUUUCAUGGACUAUAAGAUUUAUAUAUUAAUUUAAGUUAUUUAUUAAAAUGAUAUAUUUAAUAGGGAAUUGUAUGUAAUAAUGAUAUAAUUAGUAUAAUUUUAUGUAUGAAUAAAUUAGGUUAUUUAGGUUAAUUUAAGGAACUCGGCAAAUAUAUUUUUCGCCUGUUUAUUAAAAACAUGUCUUUUUGAUUAUAAUUUAAAGUCUGACCUGCCCAAUGAGGAGUUGAAUGGCCGCGGUAUUUUGACCGUGCAAAGGUAGCAUAAUCAUUAGUUUUUUAAUUGAAAGCUGGUAUGAAUGGUUGGACGAGAAAAUAACUGUCUCAAUUUAAUUUUAAUUAGAACUUUAUUUUUAAGUAAGAAAGCUUAAAUGAAUUUAAAAGACGAGAAGACCCUAUAGAGUUUUAUAUUUUUUUAUAUUAAAUUAAUUUAGUAACUUGGAGUUUUAAUAUAAAAAAGUAUUUUGUUGGGGUGACAGAAAAAUUAAAGUAACUUUUUUUAAUUAGCAAACAUUAAUUUAUGAUUAAUUGAUCCGUAUAUUACGAUUAUAAGAUUAAAUUACCUUAGGGAUAACAGCGUAAUUUUUUUUGAGAGUUCAUAUCGAAAAAAGAGUUUGCGACCUCGAUGUUGGAUUAAAAUUAACUUUUGGUGUAGGAGCUAAAAAGGUUAGGUCUGUUCGACCUUUAAAAUUUUACAUGAUCUGAGUUUAAACCGGCGUGAGCCAGGUUGGUUUCUAUCUUUAAAAUAAUAAAAUAUCUUAGUACGAAAGGACCAGGUAUUUAUAAUAUUUAUUUUUAUUUGAUUAUUAGUG